This 512-nucleotide ribosomal RNA is filed under the name uncultured Chloroflexota bacterium. Its description in RNAcentral is "bacterial SSU rRNA". It matches the Rfam family "Bacterial small subunit ribosomal RNA", at positions 371 to 896 of the family's 1533-position model. The record is from RNAcentral. Lineage: Bacteria; Bacillati; Chloroflexota.
UAGGGCGCAAGCCUGAUGCAGCGACGCCGCGUGAGUGAAGAAGGCCUUCGGGUCGUAAAGCUCUUUUCUGCGUGACGAGCAAGGACGGUAGCGCAGGAAUAAGUCUCGGCUAACUACGUGCCAGCAGCCGCGGUAAAACGUAGGAGACAAACGUUAUCCGGAGUUACUGGGCGUAAAGGGCGUGCAGGCGGUCUGUUAAGUCUGGCGUGAAAGCUCUCGGCUAAACCGGGAGAGGUCGUUGGAUACUGACGGACUAGAGGACGGUAGAGGCGUGUGGAAUUCCGGGUGUAGUGGUGAAAUGCGUAGAGAUCCGGAGGAACACCAGUGGCGAAGGCGACACGCUGGGCCGUACCUGACGCUAAGACGCGACAGCAUGGGGAGCGAACGGGAUUAGAAACCCCGGUAGUCCAUGCCGUAAACGAUGCCAGCUAGGUGUUCAAGACGCGCAAGCGGCUGGGGUACCGAAGCCAACGCGAUAAGCUGGCCGCCUGGGGAGUACGGUCGCAAGGCUA